This 484-nucleotide ribosomal RNA is filed under the name uncultured bacterium. RNAcentral's name for it is "partial 16S ribosomal RNA". It matches the Rfam family "Bacterial small subunit ribosomal RNA", at positions 28 to 507 of the family's 1533-position model. The record is from RNAcentral.
GUUGAACGCUGGCGGCAGGCCUAACACAUGCAAGUCGAGCGGAUGAAGGGAGCUUGCUCCUGGAUUCAGCGGCGGACGGGUGAGUAAUGCCUAGGAAUCUGCCUGGUAGUGGGGGAUAACGUCCGGAAACGGGCGCUAAUACCGCAUACGUCCUGAGGGAGAAAGUGGGGGAUCUUCGGACCUCACGCUAUCAGAUGAGCCUAGGUCGGAUUAGCUAGUUGGUGGGGUAAAGGCCUACCAAGGCGACGAUCCGUAACUGGUCUGAGAGGAUGAUCAGUCACACUGGAACUGAGACACGGUCCAGACUCCUACGGGAGGCAGCAGUGGGGAAUAUUGGACAAUGGGCGAAAGCCUGAUCCAGCCAUGCCGCGUGUGUGAAGAGGGUCUUCGGAUUGUAAAGCACUUUAAGUUGGGAGGAAGGGCAGUAAGUUAAUACCUUGCUGUUUUGACGUUACCAACAGAAUAAGCACCGGCUAACUUCGUG